Molecule: long non-coding RNA, 137 nt
Organism: Telopea speciosissima
Lineage: Eukaryota; Viridiplantae; Streptophyta; Magnoliopsida; Proteales; Proteaceae
Exons: 3
Source: RefSeq, a predicted model, not a curated record
AAGAUAGAAGGGAUAUGUUUUUAUUCCCUGUAUAUUGGUCUAUCUUUUGGAAGUGGUCCUCUGUAGUAGGAUGGUGUAUUUGCCCAGGAAUAUAUAUUUCCUUUUCAGUGCUCAAGGAUGAAGGUCUAUUGCUGUUA